UACGAAGGGGGCUAGCAUUGCUCGGAAUCACUGGGCGUAAAGCGCACGUAGGCGGCUUCUUAAGUCAGGGGUGAAAUCCUGGAGCUCAACUCCAGAACUGCCUUUGAUACUGAGAGGCUUGAGUCCGGGAGAGGUGAGUGGAACUGCGAGUGUAGAGGUGAAAUUCGUAGAUAUUCGCAAGGACACCAGUGGCGAAGGCGGCUCACUGGCCCGGUACUGACGCUGAGGUGCGAAAGCGUGGGGAGCAAACAGG
Molecule: ribosomal RNA, 253 nt
Filed under: uncultured bacterium
Lineage: Bacteria
Description: partial 16S ribosomal RNA
Rfam family: Bacterial small subunit ribosomal RNA
Source: RNAcentral